GCUGAAGUACUCUGGACACUCUGGAGCUGAUUCCUGAGGGUUUCCAAAUAAAGUCAGGUAACAGACAUUUUGGUGAGUGCACGGUGGCUUUGGAAGUGAAUUUGUCCCUAAGGAGGUCAGUCAUUGGGCAGCGCUUUUUGUGUGUAGAUGGUAGUCCUUCGAGGACUUGGUCAGCAGCUGCAGGGCUGGCAGCAGCUGGAUCCGAAGCUCUCGGGGAGGCUCCCAGUCAGGCAGACGCACGUGGGGAGGUAGCAGGUUCUGGUGCAGAUCACGGGUCCAGAGCAGGCUGGCUGGACACAGAUGCUGGGCUGGCAGCAGCUGGGUUGGCAACAGCUGGGCUGGCAGCAGCUGGGCUGGCAGCUGGGCUGGCAGCAGCUAGUUUGGCCACAGGAGCUGGACUCACAGCAGCUGGGCUGGCAACAGGGCUGGCAGCAGCUGGACACACAGCACCUGGGCUGGCAGGUAGGGGUGCUGUAGCAGCUGGUCACACAGGUGGGCUUGAAGCAGGUCCUGCAGCAGGUGGUUUGGCAGCAGGUUGGGCGGCAGCAGGGCUGGCAGCAGCUGGAGCCACAGCUGGUUUGGCCACAGCAGCUGGGCUGGCAGCAGGGGGAGCUGCAGGCUGGUUUCCAGCAGGUGGUCUUGCAGCAGGUGGUCGUGUAGCAGGUGGGCUGGCAGCAGGGGGAGCAGCAGCAGAGGGUCAUGGUGUCAGGUGUGGAGGGCG
This 721-nucleotide long non-coding RNA is filed under the name Fukomys damarensis (Damara mole-rat). Its description in RNAcentral is "lncRNA (ENSFDAG00000028158.1)". The record is from RNAcentral. Lineage: Eukaryota; Metazoa; Chordata; Mammalia; Rodentia; Bathyergidae.